GGAGAGAGAGGAGAGAGAGAGAAAGAGAGACCGAGACCCCGAUUCCCGAAGGUGAUUGGUUGCGGGAGGAGGGGCAGGCGGGAGGAGCGGGUCCCGCGGCGGGGCUUGCAAGAAUCGCUGGCUCCGGCUGCCACCUAGCGGACGGGAGCCGCUCCCGGGCGGCACACAGCCGAGUCCCUCCUCCCCUCCCCGCAGGCAGCCUGUGCCUUUUCUCCAAACGAAGACAGCACUUUGAAAAUUCUUUCAAUGGAUUUUUUUUUCCUUGAAAGAUCGUACUGGGGGAAAAUGAUACUUCUAUUAGUUACAUAUUCUCCAAUCGCAUACUCGCACCCCCCUCGUUUUGAGAUCGCUCCCCUAGGCAGGCUCAGGCGGGCGCGGAGCGGCGCGGAGUGACAAAGCCGCCGCUGCCGCCGCCGGGGGUGGGAGCAGCGCUCGCCCGCCCGCCCCUCGAUUCGCGAGGGCGUAAAAGUUUGUCUCAGCUCGAGCAUUCCUAGCGCCAACAUGCCCUCAGGUAAAGGUGGAAGUAAAUGGCCACGCUGUAUUGACAGAGGUAGAUGAAAGUCAAGAGAGAAGGUGUGGAUAAAUGAAACUAGCCCAUGAUGAGCCUGUUUUCUCCGUGACCACAAUACGAACCAGGAUGAUGGUGGUGGCAGUGGGCUUGCAUCACAGGUUGCAGCAGAUGUUCUCAAUAUCUCUAUUAAAAUUUCCUUAUUUCCGUAUGUGAGAGGAGCUCCAGAGCCGCAUCCUUAUGGUAGCUACCAUGCCGUGAUGUAAGCUGCCAUUCACUGGGAGCUUUGGCAAGAGAAUUGGCUAGAUCAGCAAGCCCAUCUCCACUAUGGAACAACAACUUGCAGCUCGUCUCUAUUGAUGGUGAAACAGUCACAAAUGGAAUAUCAAGAAACAUGCUAUAUACACUGCCUCUAGGACUGGGACAGAUAGCCACUGAGUACCAGCUUCAAAUCACCCUGCACAUUUUCUUGUUGGAAAGAUAACCACUGGAGAACCAUCUCGUUACCUUCAGCAAAAAUGAAAACAGAUCAAGACAUUAAGAAUGCCACAGUGGACAGCAGUUACGCAAGGUUCAGCAGAGGAAGUUUUCAAGAUGGUGUGCCUCGCUAGCCAGAAAUCAGAAAAGAUCGAAGCUAGCCUUUUCAUCUCAGCUGCUCCUUAAAUCAGUCCAACCCCUCCAAAUUAAUGUGAAUUGAAACAUGCAUUGCUUUUCAACUUAAUUGAGUACUUACUAUGUGUGAACCACUGCACAAAAUGGGGGAAGAAAAUGAGGGAGACAAAGCCUGCCUUCGGUAAAUUUACAGUUAGUUUCAGGGUACAUUGUUUUUCUUCUGCUGUUAAUUAGGUGUAUCCCCAAGAAAAUAAGUAAAUGGAAAAGUAUAUUCUGUGUUUUAACUCUCUUUAAUAAAAAACAAAACCAAACCCAAAAACCUCCUAACAUGGCAACUCAGUACAUUUUAAUCCUUUUUGUUGUUGUUGUUGGACUUCUGAUAGGAUCUAUUUUAUUGAUUCCAUAAAUAUUUAGUAGACUUUAGAGAUAUUAA
Molecule: non-coding RNA, 1553 nt
Organism: Chlorocebus sabaeus (green monkey)
Lineage: Eukaryota; Metazoa; Chordata; Mammalia; Primates; Cercopithecidae
Source: RefSeq, a predicted model, not a curated record